This is a long non-coding RNA of Equus caballus (horse), 2730 nucleotides long. The record is from Ensembl. NCBI's taxonomy places the organism in Eukaryota, Metazoa, Chordata, Mammalia, Perissodactyla, Equidae.
GUGACCUUGGUGCAGAUGCGACGGUGCGUUCAGAGGCAGCUCCUAGGGCCAGAGUCACGCUCGGCUCAGCCGGGUAUCUGAGCAGCAGAGUUCAGCGCCACCCCACUCACUGAGCCACGUAUUACGAGAAGACAGCUGGCUGGCUGGUUCCCAGAGGCUUUGAAACGCAGAGGAGUGAUCUUGACACGCUCUUGAAGUUUGUCACUUUGGGCAGGUGUGCCGAGAGCCGAUGCCCAAGGCAACGUGGAGGGAAGCGUAUCAGGACGUGUGGGCGACAGCCCGUGCACCUCACCUUCCAAUUGCCCAGAGACACAGAAGUAGCUGUUGCGCACUUUAACUUCUCCACGUGAGCUCUGUGGGGGACAGGCAGCUCCUCUAUCCUGCUGUGCUUUGGUUUUCUUUCUGCUAAUCCUCUAUUUCAGGUAAAUAUAAUGAAGAUAAUAACAUAUUGCAAAUGAGACACCAAUUCAGAACAUUUCGUGGUAUUUCCUUUGGAAGUAUUGGCUCAACAGAGACUAUAAUUACUGGAAAGCAGAAAUGUAAAGCUGUCACACAAACUGAAGUGUUUCCACCAUUUCUCGGAGGCAUUUAAUCAAUUCAGCCAAAGCAAUCAACAAAACAGUGUGUUGUUCUACAUUCCAAAUUGCCUAACAACUGACGACUGACUGGGUUUCUUCCGAUCUAAUUGACUGGAUGUCACACGGCUGUGGUGACACAGACCAGCACGCCCAGAGGCUCUUAAGGGGGAAGAAGCGUUUCAAAGCCUGGAUCCUAAAGAAGGCUGAUAAAAGCCGGGCAAGACAGAACUUGGAGAUUACCUCAAGGAGGACUCCAGAUUUAAAACCUGCUAAAGGAAGACACCCAAUUACGUCAAGCUGCCUGCGCCCAGCUGCUAUGAGAACAAUUCAGUUCUGAAGGAGAGAGGGCAUGAAGUUGGGGCUGUCGGCAUGGCAACUGCAGAUGACGUCUUAUCCCUUCAUAUCCCAUAAUAAGUGGGUGCCAUCCAGCCUCUCCUUGAGCUCCUCUGACUCAAAUUCAUGCAUUGUUAAAAACUCAUUAAAACGCACUGAAUCAGAGCACUGCAGACAACAAAAAUAGAGGCAGUUUUGGACGCCAAGCCAAAUAAUUUUGGCUUUUCUUCCCAAUGUGCAUGUAAACACACUGUCAGACACCCAUGCGUGCAGAUGGAAACUAUUCACAAAGGGGCUGAUGCCUGAGGUUCUCAGAGCAGUCACGACAGCGGAGAGUUGACUCACCAACGUGUCGUCUGCGGGGGCUCGUGUCACCUCAGCCGACACUCCACUUCACGUCGUCCACCGCCAGACAUGGAACUCUGUGUAAAUUACAGUCAUUCAACCUGGGGCUUUCCAAGCAGAAAUCUUAAGCCUUUCCCAUGUCCUGCCUCUUCUUUCUCCAUGAGAAAAGGAGAGAAAGACGUAGAAUAAUUGUCCAGAAAGCUUGGAGGUGAGAUCUUAGACAACGACCAUCAGAGCAGCAGUCGCAUCUGCUAACUCGGGGUGUGGAGCACCCGAUAGCAGUAGAAACAUAAGUGGAUUCUGAAUGUGCUGAAGAAAUACGUGCCAUCAGAGAGGGACUAUAGACGCUACUUAACCCCUGAAGGAAAUCAGAAAAUCAAAGUUUUAGUUGUGGCAGAGCCAGCUAGAUGCCCCCGAUCUCCAUCCUCCCAUCUUCUACGGUCACAGGAUUGCAGCAGGCACGUGGCCUGCCAGUUCGUCUACAAGUCCCAGAGUCCCUCUAAGCCAAGUGUGACCCACGACAAACAUGAUAGAAGGGGUGCGGGCAGAAGUGCUACGUGCCUCUUCCAGGCUGUCCCCGAAAGGAAGGGGCACACCCUCCACUCCUCCCCGCCUCCACGGGCUGAAACCUGGGUGAGGACAGAGGCACAAGUGAGGGCAGCACCGCAGUGACCAGGACCAGUAAGACAGAAUCCUGGGUCCUGAGGCUGCGACUGCUCACGUAUAAUUAGAGAAAUAAACUGCCCUGUUCAAGUCAUCGCGUUUAGAUUAUCUGUCAUAUAAAUUGCAUGUGGAUUCUAUUAACGCAAGAUCCAGUGGGAGAAACGCCAAGAAGACGCCACAAUUCCAGUGAAGGGUAAAGGAGACACUCAUCCUCUGGGGUACCCAAGGGCCAAGUAGUGAGGAAGCCUCCAGUCUUUGAGAUUCUCUGGGCUUGUUCUGUUGUUGAGCUGCCUGAAGGAGCACCCUAGCCUUCUUGUCACCCACUCUAGUCUUGAUCACGCCCUCCCUCAGGGGCACUUGACUGGACUUCCUCCUUGUGCAGCCCCUAUUAUGAUGUCAUCUCCUCAGCCUCAACCACUUCUGCCAGAAAAGACUACACAAGUUCCCCAAAUAUCUAUAGAGUCAGAUAAGGGGAGGCUGACAUGAGCUGAGCAGCUGCUGGGGCAGGCAGCGAGGGGAUGGAGAUGCAAAGAUGGUACCCUGACGCCCCUCUCACGUCUCCUUAGAACUGGGAGUCUUCCGAAGUUGUGACAGAGUAACACUCACCAAAUCCAGUGCCGAGGCAAAUUUUCCUGGGAUAUUGGAGCUUGUAAUUUGAAGAACUGGUCUUGUUAUCCGUUCAUACAAUAAAUACGUCCUAAGUGUCACCUGUACGUAAGGUAUUGUGUUAGGUACUGAGGAUGCCAAGAGGGAUAAAAUGUGUCCCCUUCCUUUGAUGCAUUUACAUCUAGUGGAGAGAAAAAUAUUCAAG